UACGUAGGGGGCUAGCGUUGUCCGGAUUUAUUGGGCGUAAAGAGCGUGUAGGCGGCCAGAUAGGUCUGCUGUGAAAACUCGAGGCUCAACCUCGAGAUGUCGGCGGAAACCAUUUGGCUAGAGUCCGGAAGAGGAAAGUGGAAUUCCUGGUGUAGCGGUGAAAUGCGCAGAUAUCAGGAAGAACACCCGUGGCGAAGGCGGCUACCUGGACCGGAACUGACGCUGAUGCGCGAAAGCGUGGGUAGCAAACAGG
RNAcentral lists this ribosomal RNA (253 nucleotides) under uncultured bacterium. Its description in RNAcentral is "partial 16S ribosomal RNA". It matches the Rfam family "Bacterial small subunit ribosomal RNA", at positions 524 to 776 of the family's 1533-position model. The record is from RNAcentral.